GUGGGGAAUAUUGGACAAUGGGCGAAAGCCUGAUCCAGCCAUGCCGCGUGUGUGAAGAAGGUCUUCGGAUUGUAAAGCACUUUAAGUUGGGAGGAAGGGCAGUAAGUUAAUACCUUGCUGUUUUGACGUUACCAACAGAAUAAGCACCGGCUAACUUCGUGCCAGCAGCCGCGGUAAUACGAAGGGUGCAAGCGUUAAUCGGAAUUACUGGGCGUAAAGCGCGCGUAGGUGGUUCAGCUAGUUGGAGGUGAAAUCCCCGGGCUCAACCUGGGAACUGCCUCCAAAACUACUGAGCUAGAGUACGGUAGAGGGUAGUGGAAUUUCCUGUGUAGCGGUGAAAUGCGUAGAUAUAGGAAGGAACACCAGUGGCGAAGGCGACUACCUGGACUGAUACUGACACUGAGGUGCGAAAGCGUGGGGAGCAAACAGGAUUAGAAACCCUUGUAGUCC
RNAcentral lists this ribosomal RNA (450 nucleotides) under uncultured bacterium. RNAcentral's name for it is "bacterial SSU rRNA". It matches the Rfam family "Bacterial small subunit ribosomal RNA", at positions 354 to 796 of the family's 1533-position model. The record is from RNAcentral.